RNAcentral lists this ribosomal RNA (831 nucleotides) under uncultured bacterium. RNAcentral's name for it is "bacterial SSU rRNA". It matches the Rfam family "Bacterial small subunit ribosomal RNA", at positions 57 to 878 of the family's 1533-position model. The record is from RNAcentral.
GCAAGUCGAACGGCAGCACAGUAAGAGCUUGCUCUUAUGGGUGGCGAGUGGCGGACGGGUGAGGAAUGCAUCGGAAUCUACUCUUUCGUGGGGGAUAACGUAGGGAAACUUACGCUAAUACCGCAUACGACCUACGGGUGAAAGCCGGGGACCUUCGGGCCUGGCGCGAAUGAAUGAGCCGAUGCCCGAUUAGCUAGUUGGCGGGGUAAGAGCCCACCAAGGCGACGAUCGGUAGCUGGUCUGAGAGGAUGAUCAGCCACACUGGAACUGAGACACGGUCCAGACUCCUACGGGAGGCAGCAGUGGGGAAUAUUGGACAAUGGGCGCAAGCCUGAUCCAGCCAUACCGCGUGGGUGAAGAAGGCCUUCGGGUUGUAAAGCCCUUUUGUUGGGAAAGAAAAGCAGCCGGUUAAUACCCGGUUGUUCUGACGGUACCCAAAGAAUAAGCACCGGCUAACUUCGUGCCAGCAGCCGCGGUAAUACGAAGGGUGCAAGCGUUACUCGGAAUUACUGGGCGUAAAGCGUGCGUAGGUGGUUGUUUAAGUCUGUCGUGAAAGCCCUGGGCUCAACCUGGGAAUUGCGAUGGAAACUGGGCGACUAGAGUGUGGCAGAGGAUAGUGGAAUUCCUGGUGUAGCAGUGAAAUGCGUAGAGAUCAGGAGGAACAUCCGUGGCGAAGGCGACUGUCUGGGCCAACACUGACACUGAGGCACGAAAGCGUGGGGAGCAAACAGGAUUAAUACCCUGGUAGUCCACGCCCUAAACGAUGCGAACUGGAUGUUGGGUGCAAUUUGGCACGCAUAUCAAGCUAACGCGUUAAGUUCCCGCCUGGGG